CAACAAUUUCUAAAUUUGCUGGCGGAACGAUAUCUAUCCAUGCGCAGACUCUUCCUGGUGCCUUAUUAUAGGAGAUCAGAAAAUUAAGUAAAGAUCAGAUGAGUACCUCUUAACAAAAAAGAGUCCCGCUUUCCUCAGCCGAACCGCCUGAAAAUGGUAGCGAGAAAACCGCCCCGCAACACCGCCCUCGUCGUCUCGGCGAUCCGGAAGCUGCGGGAUAUCCAGGGCACCACUUCCCGCGAGAUAGUGAAUUUCAUCUCUUCGGAAUACGACGUCUCCGGACCCAACCUCAAGCGCCACGUCCAGAUGGCCCUGAAGCGCGGGAUGUCCUACGGUUUGAUCCAUCGCGCAAAAGGCGGCUACUACCUCUCGAACCCCAAGGGGCUGACGAUCAGCUGCGACGACUUGGUUGAUCGUGGCAGAAGAGGAGGGUGCGGAGGCCGGAAACGACGCAGGCGAAGGAGCAGGCGCGGGAAAUGUGGACGCAGGCGAUCCCGCAGGCGAAGGAGGCACGGCAGGGGAAAGUGCAGGGGAAAACGCAGCAGGAGGAAG
Molecule: long non-coding RNA, 552 nt
Filed under: Neodiprion lecontei (redheaded pine sawfly)
Lineage: Eukaryota; Metazoa; Arthropoda; Insecta; Hymenoptera; Diprionidae
Also listed under: 1 other name
Description: uncharacterized LOC107216765
Source: RNAcentral